This 148-nucleotide small RNA is filed under the name Macaca fascicularis (crab-eating macaque). RNAcentral's name for it is "Metazoan signal recognition particle RNA (ENSMFAG00000059965.1)". The record is from Rfam by way of RNAcentral. Lineage: Eukaryota; Metazoa; Chordata; Mammalia; Primates; Cercopithecidae.
GCUGGGCGUGGUGGCGCAUGCCUGUAGUCCCAGCUACUCUAGAGGCUGAGGCAGGAGAAUCACUUGAACCCAGGAGGCGGAGGUUGCAGUGAGCUGGGAUCAGUCCACUGCACUCCAGCCUGGGUGACAGAGUGAGCCUCUGUCUCCA